Rhododendron griersonianum is the source of this 79-nucleotide non-coding RNA. NCBI's taxonomy places the organism in Eukaryota, Viridiplantae, Streptophyta, Magnoliopsida, Ericales, Ericaceae. The record is from the annotation of a GenBank genome assembly.
GGCCGUAUGGAAUAUAGCCAAGUGGUAAGGCAUCGGUUUUUGGUACCGGAAUGCAAAGGUUCGAAUCACAUUACAGCCC